Molecule: long non-coding RNA, 2336 nt
Organism: Oncorhynchus gorbuscha (pink salmon)
Lineage: Eukaryota; Metazoa; Chordata; Actinopteri; Salmoniformes; Salmonidae
Exons: 4
Source: RefSeq, a predicted model, not a curated record
UUCAGCUCUACCCUUGCGGCUCGUGUUCACUAGCACUUGGCAAAUUGCUGUGUGCCGAUUAGGCUGCCCAGCGUGGCUCGCUUGUGGGCGUGCUGGCAGCAUGCACGCCCACGUUGCAUGCCCACGUUCGAUUGUGCAUCAAUAAUUCAGCGUGGCAGGUUUGUAUGGAGGUCUGGUUAUUAAAUGGUUAAAUAGUUGAAUCCAUUCUCCAUUUCAUUCAUUUAUUCACAGGUAAAUAGUAAUAUGCUCUAAAACGCUCUGGUGACAAACCCACUUUGCUGCCCUGUUUCCAAUCAUCCACAUGGCUGGGAGAACCUAUUCAAGUAGCUAACUAACCGCCAUGGAGGAGGGUGAAAGGAUAGCAGCCCCAACUGUCAAAGUGAGUGAGGAGGCUAUUCUGGAUAGGGCAGGUACUUUUGUGUAGUUCCAGUCCCUAGAAGUGAGGAUGAGGAUAAUAGUAACAUAAUAUUCACUGCGGUCUAAUUUGAGUAUAAUGAAGUAUGUUUCUUGUGAGUUUUCUGUCCUCAGAUACAGAGAGCUGUGAAAGCCUGUCUGCAGAUGAAGAGGUCCAAAUGAAGAGCAGUGGUUCUCAAUCCUGGUCCUGGGGACUCAAAUCGAUACCUUGUAACUGGUGAUUCCUUCAAAACGUUUGCCUACAGUUACUGUGUAGGGCACUGCAAGGUUGGGUGACCAGGGCCAUCUGGGACUGCCUCCUGGGGGAAUUCAGGUGUGUGAAGGCUACCUGUGUCCUGCAUAACUUCCUAAGGAUGGACACGGGGACCAGGAGGGGAUCUGCAACUCGCCAACGCGUGCCACCAAAGGAGAAGACUGCUGCUCUGCAGGAUGUUUCAAGGAUGGGGUCCAACAACGCAGCAAGAGAGGAAACCUAUGUGUGGUAAGUCUUCACCUCCUACUUCUUUGAAGAGUGUGCUGUUCCCUGGCAACACCAUAGACUAUGCACAACCAACGGUUCUUUUAAGAGCCAUUCACAUUGCAAUAAGAGUGUUCUUCCUUUUACUUAGCUAUGUCAACUGCAGUUCUUCAAUUCCCAGUUUCUCGCUCUUUGAUUUCUACUUAUUCAGGUGAGGGAACUGUUUCGGUAAGGGUGGGAUGCCUGUACAAAAACAGGCUAUUUUAAGUCACCCAUAUUGAAAAAAUGUAGAACAAUUAGACACCCUGUAACCCACACCUACACACUCAUGUAUCAAUCUGAUUGACGAACUGUGUCGUGCAGUAAGCAGGCUCAGGUGUAUAACAGUGACUCCUUCCACCUUCAAAGAAUAGGCAAGAGGGCCAACCAUGGAGAAUAGUAAGACACUUCAUUAUUUAUAUAACUAUACUAUAUUGUUUGUCCUCGUGUGUCUGUGCAUGUUUUUCAUCAUAAAGGACUCUGCAGCCACUCUGCAGCCAGUGUGGACAGUAGAUGAGGCCACACACACAGAUUCCUGUUGAACACUGUCUCUUUAACUACCUUAUUUUCUCAAUAACAGUUUCUCUCCUUCACUUUAUCCCUCACUCCCCUUUUCCCUAAAUCCUCUAGGUUAUAUCAGCUGUGUUGGUGAACCCUUCCCGCAUCUGAACUGGCUACAUAGAGUGCACAGCAUGAUCAGAGGGGAGGGGUGAGAGUUCACUUGGUCAGCUCAACAGGAAGUAUUAUUAAAGAGAUGCUCUACGUUGAAAUACAAAUAGAUGUAGUAGUCCCAGAGUUAAUGAUCCAAGGUAUGUUUUGAUGUGAAAGAGGAUGCCAACCCCCAGUCCCGUCAUCGCCACCUCACCCGCUCUUAAGAUAAUCUUCGGGCCGACUGGGAGCCCAAGGCUGGUUAGGAGACACCACUAGAGACACUAUUAUGUAAUUGUGAUGACCUGAGAGAAUAUGAAGUUUAGCAGCACUGUUUAGUAAUCCCUGCUCCUCUGUUCUUACCUCUUUCCCUUUCUGUCUUUUAUGCUCUUUCUCACCUCCUCUUUCUUCUUCUGUUUUUAUAAUGCACACCAGAUGUGCAUUGAAGUACAGAUUUACUUGUAUUUAUGAUAUAACAAUUAUAAUAGUAUAAUGCAUGUAUUAUGUAUUUAUAAAACUUGAAAAUUCUUUCAAUAAAGCGUUUCACAUUCUCGACUGGUUGAAAUUAAGUCUCAUUUGAUGAAAUACUACACCUAUCCAGUGUUUAUCAGAUCAAUACAGAUGAAGGAAAUUAGAUAUUGAGACGAACCGGUUUUAGAGUAUGUCACGAAUAUUACCGAAGGUGACUCCCCUUCUUGUUCGGGUGGCGCUCGGCGGUUGUCGUUGCCGGUCUACUAGCUAUCGCCGAUCCGUUCUGUGUUCGUUUAGUUUUGUCUAA